RNAcentral lists this long non-coding RNA (1562 nucleotides) under Piliocolobus tephrosceles (Ugandan red Colobus). RNAcentral describes it as "lncRNA (ENSPTEG00000013880.1)". Lineage: Eukaryota; Metazoa; Chordata; Mammalia; Primates; Cercopithecidae. The record is from RNAcentral.
UGAACUAAUAUACAAAGAAAAACAGUUUAACAGUGUGAUUUAUAAUGUAGAUGAUGCUAGAAUAGUGAAUGAAGAUAGUAGUAAAACAAAAGAAACUAUACUAAGUGAAUUGUAUAGAAUAAAAAAUAAUUUAUUUGAUUAUUCGUCUUUAUCUAAUUAUAUACAUUUUUAUGAAAUAUAUACUAAUUUAAAAUAUAUAGUAAAAUAUGAGAGAUCAAGAAAAGGCACAAAUUUAUUAUUUUUUUGUACAACUAAAAAACGAUAUUAUUUUUAUUUAAUUUAUUUUUUUUUCCUGUUAUUAAAUAUAUGUUUAUUAUUCCGUAUACAAACAUUAAUUAAUUUCCCCUUUAAUUAUAAAUAUUAUUAUUAUUAUGAAAUAAACUUUCACGUAUUCUUUACACUUUUUGUACUAACUUAUAGCAUACUCAACAUUUGUUUAUUUUUUUUCACCUUUAAAGCUUUAUUACAUCACAUUAAUAUUAUGUGUUUACUUAUUAUACAAACGUUAUAUAAUUUAUAUAUAAAAGGAAAAAACAAAGAAAUAUAUAAAAAUACAGAACUGUUAAUAGAAGGGUGCAUAAAUAAAUACCCAUAUUUAGAUGAAAAUUUUAAAAGUAUUAUUUUAUUACAUGCAGAUAGUAUUUUUAAUAAAUUUACAAAUAUAUUUAAAUACAUUAAUAAAGAAAAUUAUAAAAAUAUUAAUAUAUAUGAGUAUCAAAAAUGUGAAAAAUGUAGUUCUAUACCUUAUCAAUAUUAUGAACAUGAUAAUGUAGAUUUAUUGGUAAACCUCGAAGAAGAGCAUCACCAACUGGAUGGUUACUUAAAUCAGCAGAAUGCCUCUUUGAAUCAACACCGAUGUGUUUUAACUCAAAAAAACUAUUUUAAUUCAAAUAAUUUAGCUAAUGAUUUAAAACAUGAACAAAGAAAUGAUCAUAAUAAUGUUAGUAACUGCGUCUGUAACAGAGGCAGCUGUAACACUUGCUGUUGCAACAAUGGAAACAACAAUGGAAACAAAAAUGGAAACAAAAAUGAAAACAAUUUUUCGAAUAAAAAAUAUAAAAAUGUUGUGAAUACAAAACAAGAAGAUGUAUAUAAAAAAAACAAGUAUGAAACUAAUAACAAUAAAGACAAAAAGUAUUGUUCUUGCUAUAACUCUACAAAAAAAAAUAUAUAUAAUAUAUAUGGAAAUUCAAUUUAUUCAAACAUUUAUGACAUAAAUAUUUAUAUGAAAUAUAAACAGAAUUAUAUUCACACAUUAAUGAUGAACAAAUGUAAAGAAAAAAUAAAUUAUAUCAAAUUUUUUUUUUAUUUUGUUCCUUAUAUAAUUAACGUAUUUAUUAAUUUAUCAGUCAAUUUUUAUGUUUUAUGCUCAGUAUAUUAUUAUAAUAAUGUAAUACCCCUUGCACCACCAUACGAUUUAGCUAAUAUAAAUAUUUCAAAUAUAUUAAAUUAUAAAGGCACUUAUUAUAUUUUUUUUAUAUUUGUUCUUAAUUUAUUAUUUUUAAUAUAUUCCUUAUUCCUUUAUAAGUUAAAUACUAUUUAUUUUUUUCUUAGACAAAUAU